GUACAUUCAAAUGUUAAUGGUAGAAUCAACACUGUGGGAAUAUGGGGUUAAAUAAAAAAUUAUUUCAUAUUUCCAUUGUGUUUUGAAAUUUCCAUAAUUAAAUGUUGGAGAGAAAAACUUCACGAGGCCUUUCCACGUUUGCCUUUUUUGGAAGACGCCAAGCAAAGGGACAUGAAUGUUCAGGGUAACUGGAUCUGCUCGGAGGAGAAGGCUGUGAGGAGCAGGAGCCACACAGUGAGGAACGGUUGCCCAGGAUCCCUGAUUCCUCUAGGAAUGCCAGAAACCUCUUGCCUUCAGAGUUCCCUCCCCACAGCUGCCUGGAUCGGGGAGGCCUUACUCAGCUCAGAGGCCAGCCAGGGGCCCAGGAAUGCGGACACGACCCUACGAAGGACACACUGCUGUCUGGGUGUGCCUGGUCAGGGAGAUUAUUCCACCACAGGGGGACAGCCGUUGUGCUGGUGACACCUCAUGAAUAAUCUGUUUCUGUGGACUCUUCUGCUGUAGUGGAGAAGAAAUGCACCAAACAUGGCUGUCAGGGGUGAGGACGCCUUUCUCUCAUCCUCUUGCAGAUCCAGAACCUCUGAUGAUGGGGCUCCCUAGGGCGCUGAGCUUUGUUCCAAAGAUUGAUCUACAUUUUCCUCUCUGACUUGUGCUGCGUGCAGUGCGCCCUUGCUCUGAUGCAGCUCUCUCAGUUGUCCAUCCAGCCUCUGCCCAUGUGAGCGCUGUUCCAUCUGGGAAGGGAAAGCUCUGCUCUUUCUCAACACUGUAAAAAUUCCUUCCUAGAAAGGUGUGGUAACUGCCCAUUCCGGGGUUUUCUCUUUCUGCUCUGCUGUUCUGCCCAGGAUUCUCUGCACAGUGCUCUCCUUUGCACCUACAGUUCCAUUCCCCUUGUCAGCCCGAGUUCCCUAGGCUUUCUGGGAUCUCUAUAACAGUUUUUAGGGUCCCUGAGCUCACGAUAUUGCUUGGCCUUGUGAAGUGCUUCCUGUUUUCACUUCCCCCUGACCACGUGGAUUUUGGCAUUUCCUUCCCAAAUCCCAAGGUCUCAUCUUGUUGAUCUCUCCUUCUUGACCUGCCCCCAGGGUGAGGAAGGAGGAUGCGGGCGGGAAGGUGAGGACUUGAGUCUGUGCUGAGACCCAGAGGAGGGCGGGUCGGGCGGCCUCUUCAGCAGGUGGACUCUGAGGGGGUCGGGAAAGAAGAGGUAGCAGAAGAGCGAGAGCAGAGAGCUUCCCUCCCCACAGACUCCAUGCAGCUUCGGGUCCUGAAGACCUGGCGUCUAUCCUGCCCGUGCUGCCGCCCAGCCAAUCCAGGCUGAUGCUCAGGGUGCGUCUCAACGAGGCAUCUGUGACGUCAUGCGGCUCCCCACCGUCUUGACAUCCUUGGGAAUUCCUCCUCAGCCCCGCCUGCCUCCCUCCUCCAUCCCACUAUCCGCCCUGUGCAGUCAGGAGGUGUCCCCAGUUCACUGGUGAAUUCAUUGGAUCUGUCACGUCGCCAGCUGGAAUGGGACAGGCCCAGAACACAGGGAUCCCAGGGGUGAAGAGGCAAAUGAAAUAAUUCAACCAGGCUACCACUGCAGGUGUGUGAUAUUAGACUGAGCGUGUCCAAUGGGGAGCAGCACAGAGAGUGUGAACAAAUCUUCACUGAGAGCAGAACGGUGCAGCAGAAGUGAGCUGGGCUCCCAACUCAGAAGAAGAAGACUCUUUCUGUGUGUUUCCAAGUGCUCAAUUCUCUACAUAAAAUCUAGCUGUUUCCGCUUUUUGCCUACUACGAAAAA
Molecule: long non-coding RNA, 1771 nt
Organism: Equus asinus (donkey)
Lineage: Eukaryota; Metazoa; Chordata; Mammalia; Perissodactyla; Equidae
Source: Ensembl